UUUCAUGUUUAUUCUGAGUAAAAGAAGCUGUUAAAAAUGUGCCUUUGUCGCAUGGGAUAAAAUAAUAGUGGGCCAUUGUAAAUUGAGAUGAAAUAACCAUUUUCAUCUUUUCUGCAUGGACUAGACAUUG
Molecule: small nucleolar RNA, 130 nt
Organism: Nycticebus coucang (slow loris)
Lineage: Eukaryota; Metazoa; Chordata; Mammalia; Primates; Lorisidae
Product: small nucleolar RNA SNORA20
Exons: 1
Source: RefSeq, a predicted model, not a curated record